UCCGGGGAAGUUCAGCGGAUGAAUACUCGGCUUCUAACCGAGAGGGCGCUGGUUCGACUCCAGCCCCCGGACCCA
This 75-nucleotide transfer RNA is filed under the name Pseudoduganella chitinolytica. RNAcentral describes it as "Telluria chitinolytica tRNA-Arg". It matches the Rfam family "tRNA". From Rfam's summary of the family: Transfer RNA (tRNA) molecules are approximately 80 nucleotides in length. Their secondary structure includes four short double-helical elements and three loops (D, anti-codon, and T loops). The record is from RNAcentral. Lineage: Bacteria; Pseudomonadati; Pseudomonadota; Betaproteobacteria; Burkholderiales; Oxalobacteraceae.